Molecule: ribosomal RNA, 269 nt
Filed under: uncultured prokaryote
Description: partial 16S ribosomal RNA
Rfam family: Archaeal small subunit ribosomal RNA
Source: RNAcentral
UACCAGCCCCCUGAGUGGUAGGGACGAUUAUUUGGCCUAAAGCGUCCGUAGCCGGCUUAAUAAGUCUCUCGUUAAAUCCAACGGCUCAAUCGUUGGGCUGCGAAAGAUACUGUUAGGCUAGAGGACGGGAGAGGUCGACGGUAUUCUUGGGGUAGGGGUGAAAUCCUAUAAUCCCAAGAGGACCACCAGUGGCGAAGGCGGUCGACUAGAACGUGCCUGACGGUGAUGGACGAAAGCUAGGGGAGCAAACCGGAUUAGAUACCCGCGUA